This 450-nucleotide ribosomal RNA is filed under the name uncultured bacterium. Its description in RNAcentral is "partial 16S ribosomal RNA". It matches the Rfam family "Bacterial small subunit ribosomal RNA", at positions 354 to 796 of the family's 1533-position model. The record is from RNAcentral.
GUGGGGAAUCUUCCGCAAUGGACGAAAGUCUGACGGAGCAACGCCGCGUGAGUGAUGAAGGUCUUCGGAUUGUAAAGCUCUGUUAAUCGGGACGAAAGAGCCUAGUGUGAAUAAUGCUAGGAAGUGACGGUACCGGAAUAGAAAGCCACGGCUAACUACGUGCCAGCAGCCGCGGUAAUACGUAGGUGGCAAGCGUUGUCCGGAAUUAUUGGGCGUAAAGCGCGCGCAGGCGGAUCUGCCAGUCUGUCUUAAAAGUUCGGGGCUUAACCCCGUGAUGGGAUGGAAACUACAGAUCUAGAGUAUCGGAGAGGAAAGUGGAAUUCCUAGUGUAGCGGUGAAAUGCGUAGAGAUUUGGAAGAACACCAGUGGCGAAGGCGACUUUCUGGACGAUGUCUGACGCUGAGGCGCGAAAGCUAGGGGAGCGAACGGGAUUAGAAACCCUAGUAGUCC